AAACCGCCCCCUAAGUUUCGGAACUAUAGCAGUUUUGGCCCCCCAAGGCCAAAAUAAAAUAAAAUAAUAACACGUGGCACCUCACUUAGGGUGCCACGUCAGCGUAGACCGAGUCAAUAUUAGCCUUCGGGGCCAAAACUGCUACAGGUGCAAAACUUAGAGGGCGGUUU
Molecule: microRNA precursor, 170 nt
Filed under: Medicago truncatula (barrel medic)
Lineage: Eukaryota; Viridiplantae; Streptophyta; Magnoliopsida; Fabales; Fabaceae
Description: MIR2619 microRNA precursor family
Rfam family: MIR2619 microRNA precursor family
Source: Rfam by way of RNAcentral